Molecule: ribosomal RNA, 433 nt
Filed under: uncultured bacterium
Lineage: Bacteria
Description: partial 16S ribosomal RNA
Rfam family: Bacterial small subunit ribosomal RNA
Source: RNAcentral
AGCGAACGCUGGCGGCAGGCUUAACACAUGCAAGUCGAGCGGGCACUUCGGUGUCAGCGGCAGACGGGUGAGUAACACGUGGGAACGUACCCUUUGGUUCGGAAUAACGCUGGGAAACUAGCGCUAAUACCGGAUACGCCCUUUUGGGGAAAGGCUUGCUGCCGAAGGAUCGGCCCGCGUCUGAUUAGCUAGUUGGUGGGGUAAUGGCCUACCAAGGCGACGAUCAGUAGCCGGUCUGAGAGGAUGAUCAGCCACACUGGGACUGAGACACGGCCCAGACUCCUACGGGAGGCAGCAGUGGGGAAUAUUGGACAAUGGGCGCAAGCCUGAUCCAGCCAUGCCGCGUGAGUGAUGAAGGCCUUAGGGUUGUAAAGCUCUUUUGUCCGGGACGAUAAUGACGGUACCGGAAGAAUAAGCCCCGGCUAACUUCGUG